This is a long non-coding RNA of Vespula pensylvanica (western yellowjacket), 3525 nucleotides long. RefSeq lists it as uncharacterized. Lineage: Eukaryota; Metazoa; Arthropoda; Insecta; Hymenoptera; Vespidae. The transcript is spliced from 5 exons. The record is from RefSeq and is a predicted model, not a curated record.
GAAAUAUUCGAUUAUGGAUUAUCGACGAGUCUCUUCUCGCGUUAAGCUUCGAUGAUCGAGGAAAUUGUGCGUCGUCAAAAAAUAUAUUCUUGUUACUUAUUUAUAUAAAAAAAAGUUGAACGCAGCAUUCGAAUUGAUUGGCCCAAUUGUUUUUCCAAGUUGUUUCGAACUGCGCAUCUGGAUCUUUAGAUCAUGCAACAUCGACGAUGACGCCGCGUGGUCAAAGUUCGAGGACCAAUAAUUUCGGCUGUAACACUUAAAGCCGUUACCAUGGUUAUCGAACUGCCUGCACCAAUAAGAAUGGCUAUUGUAUACGUAACGACUCCGUGGCUCCCGCCAAAUUCUGUGAUGGCUGCCGAAAGAAUACCUAUGAGAGCUCCGCAAAGAUCUGUUCAUGUAUUUCAACAACAACGCGGCUAUGAAGGAAGAUAAGUAAGAUACCAAUGGUACCGUAGCCAACGCUUGUUUACCACCAACUGCCGUUUCCUCGAUAUAAAGUGUCGUCGUGUUGAUCGAGUAGCACCAUCGAUUCGCCAUUCGUCGGAAGGACGAUCCAUGUGACAACGAAAACUACUACCGCCGAGCUCACCUGUGCUGAAUACCUACGAUAAAAACAACUUACGAGUGAGUGAAUAUAAAUAUAAUUUAUUUGAUUUGGUCUAUCUUCCUUACCUUAUAGCUGUUAAUUCGGUUCGACCGAGUAACGAGCUUGUUAACGACGGGAUCAUAGACAAAUGCGAGAUCUGUACGGCUGCCCAGCCAAUCUGGAAGAUUACGAUGCUCAGUAUAUAAAAGAACAUGACGAUAGAGUUGGAGGUAUUAGCGAAACCUCCAAAAAUAAUUGGGAAACUUAGGGUGACCAAAACGGAGCCAAUCACGUGCCAUAUUUUUUUCUUGCAGUAACGAUCGACGAGAAAGCCAAAGAUUGGCGUUGUGAAAGCAUCCACGAUUUGACCUUCGAAUAACGUUCUAUGUUAUUAUAAGCUAUUUUAAGAUUUAGGUUUUAUUCAUAAUAUCUUAUUUACCUAACAACAACAAUGUGCCAGCCAUUAUUGGUUCCAAGAGAGAAACCUUUUGUAGGUAUAUUAAAGUAUAAGAGAACCACAUGGCUGCCGUCAGAUCGUUGAAAAUAUGUCCCAAGGCAUAAGCCAAUUUUGUCGACAUGGAUACUUUAUUAUUAUCCAUGCCGAGUAGUCCAGUCUCCAUUUUAGAAUUUUUCUCCAUUUUUCUUCUUUCCGUUUUUCCUUUUCUUUCUUGUUUUCUUUCUUCCUUCCUUCCUUCCUUUCUUUCUUUCUUUCUUUCUUUCUUUCUUUCUUUCUUAUUAAUGCUUUAUCGAUAUAUCAGUUUCGAUCCAAAGAAACGUAGAAAGAACAAUUCGUUUUACUCAUCAUCUUGUCUCUUAUUCGUACUAGAACGAAAGCUAACUAAUUAUAAACGAAAGAAAAUCUGCAUUAAAAGAGAGUAAAUACUCUAAGAAAUACGUCAUGAGAUAACAAAGGAGAUUAACAUAAAUUAUGAUAAAAUUAUUAUUCUUAAUAACGCAAGGCAGCUGUUAGAAGUAUGUUUAAUCUUUUAAAACUGAUUAUUAACGGUAUUAAUACGAUCGAAAGAUUAUUUCUCGAGUAUAAAUCUUCUGAAUAAUUAAAUCGUUUGGGUCCUUAACAUUUGAAGAAAAUUCAAAGAAAAACUACAUCUUGUUAACUACAAUUUUUUCUUAAAAUUAUAUUCUUAAAAGUAAAAUGAAUCUCUUGGAAUUGCUUUUCCUUUCACUGGAAAGACCAGCCCGAAGCUAUUUUCCGUUUAUGGAAGUUCGCGUUUGAAACGAUUUCUUUCUCGAGAUAAGAAAGUUACGGUGUAACUUGGAACGUUGCUUGAUAUAUUUAUGAAACACGGUGACACAACGACCGGAAACGUAAUAUUAAAUUUCAUUUACAAGUGUCCGGUAUAUACGUACUUACAUCUUAAAGAUCGAUAUAUUCUUUGUUUCUCAAUCUCUUAUCUGAAUCGGUAAUUUAAAACGCAAACAACGAAAUAAAUAACAAACUCGUCAUUUCGUGUUCUUCUAUGUUAUUAUAAACAGAACGUUGAAAUCCAUUUUAUAAAUUAUAUUUUGAUUUAAUAUUCGAAAUAAUUUUGUUCGACCGAUUACGGUCGUCCUCUUUUUUUUUUUUUUUUUACGAAUAAAGUAAACAAAGAAAGAAAGAAAUAAACAAAAGUAUUAUACGAAGUUGAUUUUUUUUUUUUUUUUUUUUUUUUUUUUUUGAUACGAGUAUCUAUCGCGAAUAGAUAAUGAAGAGAUAGAUAGAAGUCAAACGAGUAUAAUGAUCGGUACGUCGAUAAUAAUAAAUUUAGAAAAAGAAAUAAUAAUUACUGCGUGGGUGGAAAAUUAAAAAAAAAACUCGUAGAACGUGUCAACCUGGCAAACGAUGAGCAGCAACUGAUCGGUGCUUCGGUCACCGUUUGCUUUGUAAGAAAAGAGAAAGAAUAUGAGGAAGAAGGGAACAAGUAGUAGUAGGUAGAGGGAGAAAGAGAAGAAGGAGAAGAGAGAAAACGUUUCAAAAGUUCGAGUCGUCCUAUCGUUUGUCAUCUUUGUGGAAACUUAUUUGUUAUUGUUUAUAUCGGGUUCAAAGAAUUUCGUCAGUUUCGUUAUCACCUAUACAAAGUACACGACGUCAUUUUGUUUCAAUUAUUUUAUAACAACGAUUUAAUAACAACAAAGUAAUACAGAGUAAUCUUAUUCGUUUCAAGUCGUUUCUGAUUUUUUCUUUCUUUCUUUUUUUUUUUUUUUUUUUAAACGCUAAGAAAGUUUUCUGCAAAAUGGGAUUACGUAGUUUCUAAUCUAAUCUAUGGAAUGACUUAUGAUAAAGAAAUAUGUAAGAAUGUACGAGUGGAAGAAUAAAUGAAAGCAACUUUGACAAGUUGUUGAUCGAUUGAAAAUGUUAUAUUCAUUCGUUCGAUAAUAGUAGAGAGAUAUUGAAAGUAUGAUUUACAGCAGAAGAAUAAAAAUUAUAUAUAAGAAUGCAUAUAUCAGAUAAAAUAUAAAGCCGAUGAGAACUAAGUGAAAAGUUUUAAUGCUUCGACGAGUAAUUAAGGAAAUUGUUAGAUGAAUUAAUUUAUUAAGGAUAUAAUUAAGGAUAUAAAUUAGAAUAUAUAAGAAUGUAUAUGCCGGUGAUAUAGAAAACAACAUGGACAUCGAUGGAAGAAUUUCAACGAUAUUAAUUUGCUAUUAUCUUCAAUUGAUACAAUAGAAAAAUUGAAAUAAAGAAAUAAGAAUUGAAUAAAGAAUUGAAAUGAAAGAAGAAAAAUAAAAGUAUCUUUGGAAAGUUAACAUAUCAAUGGCAAAAAUUCAAAUAAGAAAUACAUAAGUUGAUAUAAAAUAUAUAAUAAGAAUCUGUGUCGAGGUAACUUGGAAGAGUUAUGAAUUAAUUAAAAACAUUUCAAUGAUCUGUAAUAACUCUUAUUAAGAAUGAUAAGAAUUAGUUCAAUAACAUAGAAAUAAAUAUGUGAUUAUUUUUUAUACGACAA